GACGAACGCUGGCGGCGCGCCUAACACAUGCAAGUCGAACGAGCGAGAGAGAGCUUGCUUUCUCAAGCGAGUGGCGAACGGGUGAGUAACGCGUGAGGAACCUGCCUCAAGGAGGGGGACAACAGUUGGAAACGACUGCUAAUACCGCAUAAGCCCACGACCCGGCAUCGGGUAGAGGGAAAAGGAGCAAUCCGCUUUGAGAUGGCCUCGCGUCCGAUUAGCUAGUUGGUGAGGUAACGGCCCACCAAGGCGACGAUCGGUAGCCGGACUGAGAGGUUGAACGGCCACAUUGGGACUGAGACACGGCCCAGACUCCUACGGGAGGCAGCAGUGGGGAAUAUUGCACAAUGGGGGAAACCCUGAUGCAGCGACGCCGCGUGGAGGAAGAAGGUCUUCGGAUUGUAAACUCCUGUUGUUGAGGAAGAUAAUGACGGUACUCAACAAGGAAGUGACGGCUAACUACGUG
This 466-nucleotide ribosomal RNA is filed under the name uncultured bacterium. Its description in RNAcentral is "partial 16S ribosomal RNA". It matches the Rfam family "Bacterial small subunit ribosomal RNA", at positions 28 to 507 of the family's 1533-position model. The record is from RNAcentral.